GUGUCAGCAGCCGCGGUAAUACGUAGGGGGCAAGCGUUGUCCGGAAUUAUUGGGCGUAAAGCGCGCGCAGGCGGUUCAUUAAGUUUGGUGUAUAAUCCCGGGGCUCAACCCCGGGCCGCACUGAAAACUGGUGGACUUGAGUGCGGGAGAGGAAAGUGGAAUUCCACGUGUAGCGGUGAAAUGCGUAGAGAUGUGGAGGAACACCAGUGGCGAAGGCGACUUUCUGGACCGUAACUGACGCUGAGGCGCGAAAGCGUGGGGAGCAAACAGGAUUAGAUACCCCUGUAGUCC
RNAcentral lists this ribosomal RNA (291 nucleotides) under uncultured bacterium. RNAcentral describes it as "partial 16S ribosomal RNA". It matches the Rfam family "Bacterial small subunit ribosomal RNA", at positions 505 to 796 of the family's 1533-position model. The record is from RNAcentral.